UUUGGGGAAGAACUUGUAACCAAAGGGUGUGGUUCUGAUGGGAAAAUGAAGAGAUACUUGGAUUAAAUCUGGUAUGGGCCAGAAGGAUUCACUGUGUGGAUGCCUAGAAGGGAGUCUGGUGGCGGUAGAGCUGAUGAUGCUGGAAUCUACUCCUUUGCAGCAGAUUCUGGAACUUGGAAGCAACAGUAGACAGGACAUAGAAGAGCUGCAUGGGUCACUGUGGAAAAUACUCUCCUUUCUUCGGGCAGCACACAUCCUCAGUUGCCGCUCUCAGGAUGACGUGUUAUCUGCCACAGCAACAACCUGCAAGCCCCACCCUCAGACAGGCUUCCAGUGAGUUUACAUGCAGAUGGAGUUGCAGAAGAGCCCUCUCCAAAAUCUUGGAAAUAAUAUCAUGCCCAGAAUUAUUGCCAAAAUCCUGGGAAGUAAAAACACAGAUUUAAAGGAGAGGCCGAAAGGUCUGACAUGCCAGACGGAAUACUCUGAGGAACCUGACAUUGAUGGGAAGCAGCAGUUCCUCCAGAGACCACGAGUUCUGUGCUCUCCGAGGUCCGCUCUCCACCCCAGGGCUGAGGCAUCAGUGGUCAGACAUAGCAAGGGGUGGGGAUUGGAAAAGGCGACUCCUGCACACACCAAGUGCGGGUCGAGCCACCACUAAAGAGACUCGAGAACCCGCAGUGGAAGGGUUCUGAGCGACCCGCCUCAAGAGUUCUGCUGUCGUGAAGGGGAGGCCCUGAGGAUGUUCCUGCCACUGCCUCAUCUGAGAGACUAUGCUAGAGGAUCGCUUGUGAAGACGGAAGACGAAACGCUCCAACGACCGUCACUGGCGGUAAGAAGGAACUGGAGGCAGGGCCCUAUAUGCGCACCAUGAAGGCACGACUCCAGGGGGCUCCACAGCCGACCCGACAGGUGUUGCUAGGGGAAAAACCUUCCGGCGACUGUGCAUGCGGUGUGCGCACACACACCUAAUCGGAAUCGAUAUGAGCAAGCACUUGAAGAAGAACUGUGCUCCAGGACUAGAGGGAGGGAUUAUAAACCCUUCUAUGAAGUGCCGUGGAGCCAAUAUGCUUUGGUGAAACACAAGAGUGUAGCAAAUCAACCCAGAGCCUCCUUCUAAAGACAAUGAGGGGGCUGAAUGCACGCAGCAGGAGGCAUGUACUCCUUAAAAGGACCAGGGGGGAGGGAUAGCUCAGUGGUUUGCGCAUGGGCCUGCUAAACCCAGGGUUAUGAGUUCAAUCCACGAGGG
This is a long non-coding RNA of Trachemys scripta elegans, 1246 nucleotides long. RefSeq lists it as uncharacterized. The transcript is spliced from 7 exons. Lineage: Eukaryota; Metazoa; Chordata; Testudines; Emydidae. The record is from RefSeq and is a predicted model, not a curated record.